AAUCUUACCGGGUCCGGACACACUGAGGAUUGACAGACAGUUGUCUUUCCCUCCCUUCGGGGUGGGAUUACAAAAGAUAACAGAUCUUUCAUGAUCAUGUGAUGGGUGGUGCAUGGCCGUUCUUAGUUCGUGGAGUGAUCUGUCUGCUUAAUUGCGUUUCAAAUUUUAUAUUUGUUAACAUGCGAGUCUUCAAUGACGGCCACUCCACCUUAUAGACAUUAUAUGAUAUGCACAUUUGUGUAUUUGAUUAUAACUUGUCUGGAGUCUGGCUCGAUUUUUUUGACUCAAUUGAACGCAACGGACGUGAUUGCAAGUCCUUGUUGAACAAAUUAUAUAUAUACUACUUCAUCAUUAGUAUAUAUAGUUCGCUUCUCAUGUCGUAGCAGUCAAACGGGCGGGCGUCUUAAUUGGCGCGGUCACGAGGCUUAAUAUGCUGCGGCUGGGAAAACUUGGGCGACCGCUGUAAUACUUCUCUCUUAAACCAGAGGAAGAUUGCGGCAAUAACAGG
Molecule: ribosomal RNA, 508 nt
Filed under: Globigerinella siphonifera
Lineage: Eukaryota; Foraminifera; Rotaliida; Globigerinidae
Description: SSU rRNA
Rfam family: Eukaryotic small subunit ribosomal RNA
Source: RNAcentral